RNAcentral lists this microRNA precursor (78 nucleotides) under Schistosoma margrebowiei. RNAcentral describes it as "mir-3492 microRNA precursor family". It matches the Rfam family "mir-3492 microRNA precursor family". Lineage: Eukaryota; Metazoa; Platyhelminthes; Trematoda; Strigeidida; Schistosomatidae. The record is from Rfam by way of RNAcentral.
AGCCUUCUGUAUCCGUGCUGAGAUUUUGCAACACACCAGACCACAAGGGCUCAUUAGACUUCCAAAGUAAAUGAAGCG